GUGCCAGCCGCCGCGGUAAUACGGAGGGUGCAAGCGUUAUCCGGAUUCACUGGGUUUAAAGGGUGCGUAGGUGGGCAGGUAAGUCAGUGGUGAAAUCUCCGGGCUUAACCCGGAAACUGCCGUUGAUACUAUCGGUCUUGAAUAUCGUGGAGAUGAGCGGAAUAUGUCAUGUAGCGGUGAAAUGCUUAGAUAUGACAUAGAACACCGAUUGCGAAGGCAGCUCGUUACACGGUUAUUGACACUGAGGCACGAAAGCGUGGGGAUCAAACAGGAUUAGAUACCCCGGUAGUCC
This 292-nucleotide ribosomal RNA is filed under the name uncultured bacterium. RNAcentral's name for it is "partial 16S ribosomal RNA". It matches the Rfam family "Bacterial small subunit ribosomal RNA", at positions 505 to 796 of the family's 1533-position model. The record is from RNAcentral.